ACUCAAAUGAAUAGACGGGGGCCCGCACAAGCAGUGGAGUAUGUGGUUUAAUUCGAAGCAACGCGAAGAACCUUACCAGGGCUUGACAUGGAAACGAUCGCCGUAGAGAUACGGCUUUCUUCGGACGUUUCACACAGGUGGUGCAUGGUUGUCGUCAGCUCGUGUCGUGAGAUGUUGGGUUAAGUCCCGCAACGAGCGCAACCCUUAUUGUCAGUUGCUAACAUUUAGUUGAGAACUCUGGCAAGACUGCCGGUGACAAAUCGGAGGAAGGUGGGGACGACGUCAAAUCAUCAUGCCCCUUAUGUCCUGGGCUACACACGUACUACAAUGGCCGUUAACAACAGGAAGCGAAGCCGCGAGGCGGAGCAAAUCCCCAAAAACGGUCUCAGUUCAGAUUGCAGGCUGCAACUCGCCUGCAUGAAGUCGGAAUUGCUAGUAAUCGCGAAUCAGCAUGUCGCGGUGAAUACGUUCCCGGGCCUUGCACACACCGCCCGU
This 495-nucleotide ribosomal RNA is filed under the name uncultured bacterium. Its description in RNAcentral is "bacterial SSU rRNA". It matches the Rfam family "Bacterial small subunit ribosomal RNA", at positions 899 to 1397 of the family's 1533-position model. The record is from RNAcentral.